AUGGAUGUCUAGACCAUUAAGGUGCAGUCACAUUUACUGUUGUUCUGUGAAUUUUUGUGGACAAAGUCGGUCGUUUCAGUAGGGAUUGAAAUCCAUGUGAUCAGCAAUUUCCUGUGAGGGUAAAAGAUUUCCCCACACAGAUUCCUCAAAGGGUUCAAGGUCACAUGGCGAAUGACCAACUUGGUUUGAAAGUGACUUCUGCUGCUUGGUUUGAAAGUGACUUCUGUGUAAGCUGUGCUUCAUACAUCGCUACAUUAUUGACGAUGGACUUUUUCCUGUGAAAUUUCAUGAUAAUAUUACCACACCUUUAUGGAUUAUCUAUUACACUCAUACUUCGGUUAACUCUCAUUCAUGAUGUUGCAUGCUGUGUAUAGGCCUUGUUGCUAAUAUCAGCUUAUACUAGUUUUUCAUUAGUUUUAUUCUAUUCUGUGGUGGUAAAAUUAGUCGCCGCCUGAGACUGCACAGCCACAGAUCACCCACAGUCGGUCUUUUUUUCCCCCAUGCCUCUAUUAUUGUGGUUUAAUCUAUUUUAGAUAACCCACGAUUAAAACAAACAAACUGUGGUCGAACUGAGAAUGUCAAUGUUCAUUCCUCAUGUCAAAAGUCUGGCUAGACGAAUCUAUUUUAGAAUAAACCCAUUUUUCAUGUGCCAUGAUGGCUGCAAAAAAAAUACUGUAAAUGCACUUAGUGUAUUCUUAAUUCAUCAGUUUCUUGUUAGUUUUGUUGGUCUUCAUUGUCUUUAUCACGGGACCAAUUGUUCUCAGUUGCUGAUUUAGCUAUUAUGAGAAUAUUAUCUUUUUCAUUUACUUUUAAGUGGAACUCUGCUUUAACUUUGCAUUUUCUGAUUUUGCUCAGGUUUAUAUAUCACAGAAACAGCACUUAGUCUCUGUAUGAAGAUUAGGGGAAGUUUGUAUUAAUGAAAUGAUCUUAACUGGAACUGAAUAACAGCUUUAAAUGCACAUUUUUCUUCUGUCAGAACAUGUCGACCGUACGUCAUACACUUUGCAUCAAUCACACACAAACGUCUUACUAAGCAAAUUGAUGCUUUUGCUCUGUGCUUGUGUGUUCUGUAAUUUUCAUUUGCCAUCUGUACAGAUGCUCAGUAUUCUAGUUAUGUUUUACCUGCACUGGUUUUGUGUUCAUGUCUUUGCAAUUGUUUGCUCACCUUAUAGGUUGCCUCCCACUUUUUCUGAAUUGGAUGGCAGAAUGCUGGGCUCACUGUAAAAGCUUUAUAAAUGUGUAUUCUAUAAUUAUCUAUAUGUAUUUUUGUAAUGAAGUAUAUAUUUAAAACUGG
This is a long non-coding RNA of Rhinichthys klamathensis goyatoka, 1294 nucleotides long. RefSeq lists it as uncharacterized. The transcript is spliced from 2 exons. NCBI's taxonomy places the organism in Eukaryota, Metazoa, Chordata, Actinopteri, Cypriniformes, Leuciscidae. The record is from RefSeq and is a predicted model, not a curated record.